RNAcentral lists this long non-coding RNA (1040 nucleotides) under Monodelphis domestica (gray short-tailed opossum). RNAcentral describes it as "lncRNA (ENSMODG00000047505.1)". The record is from RNAcentral. Lineage: Eukaryota; Metazoa; Chordata; Mammalia; Didelphimorphia; Didelphidae.
AAAUAUUGAUAAAAUAAUGUCUUAAAAAUUUUGACUUAAUGUUAAAAAAGACACAAAGGAAAGGAUUCCUCGAAAAGCAGAAUAGGCCAAAUGGAAAAGGAGAUACAAAAGCUCAAUGAAGAAAACAAUUUCCUAAAGAUUAGAAUAGUGAAGGCUAAUGGCUCUAUGAGACAAUGAGAACAUAAAAUAAAGUCAAAAGAAUGAAAAAAUAAAAGAAAAUGGGAAAUAUCUCAUUGGAAAAACAACUUUCAUGGAAAACGAAUGAAAAGAGAUGACUAUAGAAUUAUUGGACUAUCAGAGUCAUGAACAACAACAAAAAAAGAGCUGAGAUAUCAUGUUUCAAGAAAUUGUGAAAGAAAGCUUCUCUCAAUAUUGGAGUUCUACAUGGUAAAAUAGAAAUUGAAAGAAUCUACUGAUUAUCUCUUGAAAGAGAUCCCAAAAUAAAACUCCCUAGGAAUAUAAAAGCCAAAUUUCAGAGCUUUAGAUUGAUGAGAAAAUAUUGCAAGCAGCCAGAAAGAAACAAUUCAAAAAUCAUGGAGCCACAGUGAGGAUCAAAAAAAGAUUUAGUGGUUUUCAUAUUAAUGGAAUGGAGGGUUUGGAAUAAGAUAUGCUAGACGCCAAAGUAGCAAGAAUAACAUCCAAGAAUAACAUAUUCAGUAAAACUGGAAAAUUGUAUAUUGGAUAAAAUAGAGGACUUUUAAGCAUUCCUGAUGAAAAGGUCAGAGAUGAAUAGAACAUUUGACAUUCAGUCACAAGACCAAAGAGAAGCACAAAAAGCUUCCAGGCUAAGGAGAAAAUAUUGGAAGAAGCCAGAAAGAGACAAUUCAGAUAUCAAGGAGCCUCAGUCAGGAUUACACAGGAACUGGCAGCCUCCACAUUAAAGGACCACAAGGCUUGGAAUAUGAUAUGCAGAAGGGCAAGAGAAUUGGGCCUACAACCAAGGAUCACCUACCCAUCAAAACUGACUCUAUACUUCCAGGGAAAAGUAUGAGUAUUUAACAAAAUAGAAGAUUUCCAAGUAUUUGUAAAGAAAAGAUCAG